ACGGAAUAGAUACCCAGGUAGUCCCAGCCGUAAACGAUGCUCGCUAGGUGUCAGGCAUGGCGCGACCGUGUCUGGUGCCGCAGGGAAGCCGUGAAGCGAGCCACCUGGGAAGUACGGCCGCAAGGCUGAAACUUAAAGGAAUUGGCGGGGGAGCACAACAACGGGUGGAGCCUGCGGUUUAAUUGGACUCAACGCCGGACAACUCACCGGGGGCGACAGCAAUAUGUAGGCCAAGCUGAAGACUUUGCCUGAAUCGCUGAGAGGAGGUGCAUGGCCGUCGCCAGUUCGUACUGUGAAGCAUCCUGUUAAGUCAGGCAACGAGCGAGACCCGUGCCCACUGUUACCAGCAUGUCCUCCGGGACGAUGGGUACUCUGUGGGGACCGCCUAUGUUAAAUAGGAGGAAGGUGCGGGCC
This 414-nucleotide ribosomal RNA is filed under the name uncultured bacterium. RNAcentral's name for it is "bacterial SSU rRNA". It matches the Rfam family "Archaeal small subunit ribosomal RNA", at positions 723 to 1137 of the family's 1478-position model. The record is from RNAcentral.